RNAcentral lists this small nucleolar RNA (214 nucleotides) under Helianthus annuus (common sunflower). Its description in RNAcentral is "Plant small nucleolar RNA U3". It matches the Rfam family "Plant small nucleolar RNA U3". From Rfam's summary of the family: Small nucleolar RNAs (snoRNAs) are involved in the processing and modification of rRNA in the nucleolus. There are two main classes of snoRNAs: the box C/D class, and the box H/ACA class. Lineage: Eukaryota; Viridiplantae; Streptophyta; Magnoliopsida; Asterales; Asteraceae. The record is from RNAcentral.
ACGACCUUACUUGAACAGGAUCUGUUCUAUAGGCCCGUACCUCUGAGUUCUUGAUUCCUAAGAAGACAAAAACCCAUGUCUGGUGGACGAAUCAGUACCGUGUGACUAGAGCGUGAUUAACGGAGCCAGCCCAUCUGAUGGGUCCUUUGCAUCUUUCUUUUCAUCGUUACGCAUCGUUUGCAUUAUGUCCUUUGACAACACACUCCCACAGAUC